RNAcentral lists this long non-coding RNA (711 nucleotides) under Lupinus angustifolius (narrow-leaved blue lupine). Its description in RNAcentral is "long non-coding RNA (LANG_LNC001126)". Lineage: Eukaryota; Viridiplantae; Streptophyta; Magnoliopsida; Fabales; Fabaceae. The record is from RNAcentral.
UUUGUUCUAAUAUUAUAUUAAACAAAAAUAAUAUUAAUUUUAAAAUAAUUUUAACAACAAACUGUAGAUUGAAGCCUAUAAAUUAGCCACCAUUUCCCAUCUUCAAUAUCAAAAGUGCCUAAUCUAUCAAUAUCUAUAUUUUCCUUGCUUCAUCUAUUAAUAUCAUAUAUCUUCCUCUCUAGAAAAAAACAUGGCACACAUUAACAACUUCAUUAGAGCAGUAUUCUUUAUUGUAUUCAUUGUGGGGUUUUUGCUAGCUGCUGAGGCAAGGUCACAGGUUAAUGAGUUCUCUCCGGCAUCAGCUCCAGCACCUGAAGUUGGGGCUGGAUUUUUUGUGACAUAUUCUGGAGCAUUUAUUUGUUCAUCACUUUUCCUUUCUCUACUUGUACUUAUCUUCCAUUAAGUUCCAGUAUUGUAUUCUUUUCAAGAUUCUAUUAUCCUAUUUGUUCAUUAUAAAUGGUGAUGAUUGGUGAUUAGUGAGUUUAUUUGAAGGUGGUGCCAUUUUUUAUUUUAUUUUAUAUCAUAUGUCUGUUUCGUUAUUAUUUGUGUUUUUUUAUAUUAUAUUUUGGCAAACUAAUUAUUUGGUUAAGGUGUAAUUCAUUAUAUGAAUGAAAAUAAUAUGAGUGUUACAAUGUUAAUUACGAUAGGAAAACACCAAGAGUAUGGAUAAUGACUUUAUAAGCCAUUUUAUUUUGUUCUAUGUUUUUCUUC